GGGGGCGUAAAUGGUUUCGACGGGAAAUGUUUUUGGAAGGUGUAAAGCGUGUGGUAGUCGGUUACCUUAAAACGAAAAUUAAAUUAAACGCAGAUAAUCAAAAUCUUGCUGUUGCUGCUUAGUUAGCAACUGUCCUUGCGGAUUUUCCCACAAAUUCGCUUUUGGGCAUCAAUAGCGUGGGGAACGUUCAAUGUUUUGUCUUUGAACAUUGAAAUGAUUUAAAAGACUAGUUUAAUGGAUAUUUUGUUCAUUAUAUUCACUAAAUUAAAUAGGCAAAUGAACUAAACACGUAGAAAAGCCGUUCAAGCUUUUUCGGACGUGGGUUCAACUCCCACCGUCUCCACCA
Molecule: transfer-messenger RNA, 346 nt
Filed under: pig gut metagenome
Rfam family: transfer-messenger RNA
About the family: Bacterial tmRNA, also known as 10Sa RNA or SsrA, is named for its dual tRNA and mRNA-like properties.
Source: RNAcentral